UUUCAUAUCAGACGAACUUAGGGGAUCGAAGACGAUCAGAUACCGUCGUAGUCUUAACCAUAAACGAUGCCGACCAGCGAUUAGGAGACGUUGAAUACAAAACACCACCACCGGCGCGGUCGUCCUUGGCGUUCGUGUUCUCGCACGAGCGCGAGGGCGGUUUAGCCCGGUGGCACCGGUGAAUGACUCCCUACCAGCUUGUGAGAAA
Molecule: ribosomal RNA, 208 nt
Filed under: Acanthamoeba sp. IB&GE PSHW1/PAK/T2-10
Lineage: Eukaryota; Discosea; Longamoebia; Acanthamoebidae
Description: partial 18S ribosomal RNA
Rfam family: Eukaryotic small subunit ribosomal RNA
Source: RNAcentral